AUGGGUGCUCAUGGUGGCCUCCAAAUAAAUACAUGGACAGGCUGCUAAAGAGGGUCAGGAUGAUGGAGAUGCAAGAGCCAAAGACAGCACGGACCAAACACCAGGCCAGAAUUCUGCAUGAGUCAGCUGUAAAAAACAAAAGAAUGAAACAGUACCUGCAUUUUAGUUUCCAGCCUUUUUCACAAAGUUGCCGACAACUGGAAGAAUGUCCCAAAUUGCUGAAAAAAGAAAUUCAAUUGAGUAAUUUUCACUCUAGAGACCCUGGGGUGACCACCAAGGACGAAUGAAAACUCCAGUGAGUGUCUCUAAGGUAGAUCCUAAUGCAGAUGGAUGGAAUGUUGAUCCGCCUAACAUGCAAGAUUUUCUGUACCGAGAACUUUGGAUGACCAUCAAGACAAGCACUUGUUUUGAGUCCUGAGACCCUGGGGUGACCACCGUGAACAAAUACAGA
This is a non-coding RNA of Misgurnus anguillicaudatus (oriental weatherfish), 451 nucleotides long. The record is from RefSeq and is a predicted model, not a curated record. NCBI's taxonomy places the organism in Eukaryota, Metazoa, Chordata, Actinopteri, Cypriniformes, Cobitidae.